This 1261-nucleotide ribosomal RNA is filed under the name metagenome. RNAcentral describes it as "bacterial SSU rRNA". It matches the Rfam family "Bacterial small subunit ribosomal RNA", at positions 250 to 1498 of the family's 1533-position model. The record is from RNAcentral.
UGGUGGGGUAAUGGCCUACCAAGGCUACGAUGGUUAGCCGGUCUGAGAGGAUGAUCAGCCACACUGGAACUGAAACACGGUCCAGACUCCUACGGGAGGCAGCAGUGAGGAAUUUUGCGCAAUGGGGGAAACCCUGACGCAGCAACGCCGCGUGAGUGAAGAAGGCUUUCGGGUCGUAAAGCUCUGUCAGAUAGGAAAAAAGUUCAUAUGUAAAUAGCUUAUGAAUCUGAUGGUACUAUCAGAGGAAGCACCGGCUAACUCCGUGCCAGCAGCCGCGGUAAUACGGAGGGUGCAAGCGUUGUUCGGAAUUAUUGGGCGUAAAGGGCGUGUAGGCGGGAUAAUCAGUCAGAUGUGAAAGCCCUGGGCUUAACUCAGGAAGUGCAUUUGAUACUGUUAUUCUUGAGUAUGGGAGAGGAGAGUAGAAUUCCCAGUGUAGAGGUGAAAUUCGUAGAUAUUGGGAGGAAUACCCGUGGCGAAGGCGACUCUCUGGACCAAUACUGACGCUGAGACGCGAAAGCGUGGGGAGCAAACAGGAUUAGAUACCCUGGUAGUCCACGCCGUAAACGAUGAGAACUAGGUGUAGCGGGUAUUGACCCCUGCUGUGCCGAAGUUAACGCAUUAAGUUCUCCGCCUGGGGAGUACGGCCGCAAGGCUAAAACUCAAAGGAAUUGACGGGGACCCGCACAAGCGGUGGAGCAUGUGGUUUAAUUCGACGCGACGCGAAGAACCUUACCUGGAUUUGACAUCCUCUGACCUCCAUGGAAACAUGGCUUUCUAUGCUUGCAUAGACAGAGUGACAGGUGCUGCAUGGCUGUCGUCAGCUCGUGUCGUGAGAUGUUGGGUUAAGUCCCGCAACGAGCGCAACCCUUGUUUUUAGUUGCUAUUAUUAAGUUAAGCACUCUAGAAAUACUGCCUCGGUUAACGGGGAGGAAGGUGGGGAUGACGUCAAGUCCUCAUGGCCUUUAUAUCCGGGGCUACACACGUGCUACAAUGGACUGUACAAAGGGUCGCCACUUCGCGAGAAGGAGCUAAUCCCAAAAAGCAGUUCUCAGUUCGGAUUGGAGUCUGCAACUCGACUCCAUGAAGUUGGAAUCACUAGUAAUCGUGGAUCAGCAUGCCACGGUGAAUACGUUCCCGGGUCUUGUACACACCGCCCGUCACACCACGAAAGUCGGCUGUACCAGAAGUUGCUGGGCUAACCCUUCGGGGAAGCAGGUACCUAAGGUACGGUCGGUAAUUGGGGUGAAGUCGUAACAAGGUA